RNAcentral lists this ribosomal RNA (374 nucleotides) under uncultured bacterium. RNAcentral's name for it is "bacterial SSU rRNA". It matches the Rfam family "Bacterial small subunit ribosomal RNA", at positions 30 to 405 of the family's 1533-position model. The record is from RNAcentral.
AUUGAACGCUGGCGGCAUGCCUUACACAUGCAAGUCGAACGGCAGCACGGGAGCAAUCCUGGUGGCGAGUGGCGAACGGGUGAGUAAUAUAUCGGAACGUGCCCAGUCGUGGGGGAUAACGUAGCGAAAGCUACGCUAAUACCGCAUACGAUCUAUGGAUGAAAGCGGGGGAUCGCAAGACCUCGCGCGAUUGGAGCGGCCGAUAUCAGAUUAGGUAGUUGGUGGGGUAAAGCCUACCAAGCCUUCGAUCUGUAGCUGGUCUGAGAGGACGACCAGCCACACUGGAACUGAGACACGGUCCAGACUCCUACGGGAGGCAGCAGUGGGGAAUUUUGGACAAUGGGCGCAAGCCUGAUCCAGCAAUGCCGCGUGCA